Molecule: ribosomal RNA, 1371 nt
Filed under: uncultured bacterium
Lineage: Bacteria
Description: bacterial SSU rRNA
Rfam family: Bacterial small subunit ribosomal RNA
Source: RNAcentral
GAUGAACGCUGGCGGCGUGCCUAAUACAUGCAAGUCGAGCGAACGGACGAGAAGCUUGCUUCUCUGAUGUUAGCGGCGGACGGGUGAGUAACACGUGGAUAACCUACCUAUAAGACUGGGAUAACUUCGGGAAACCGGAGCUAAUACCGGAUAAUAUUUUGAACCGCAUGGUUCAAAAGUGAAAGACGGUCUUGCUGUCACUUAUAGAUGGAUCCGCGCUGCAUUAGCUAGUUGGUAAGGUAACGGCUUACCAAGGCAACGAUGCAUAGCCGACCUGAGAGGGUGAUCGGCCACACUGGAACUGAGACACGGUCCAGACUCCUACGGGAGGCAGCAGUAGGGAAUCUUCCGCAAUGGGCGAAAGCCUGACGGAGCAACGCCGCGUGAGUGAUGAAGGUCUUCGGAUCGUAAAACUCUGUUAUCAGGGAAGAACAUAUGUGUAAGUAACUGUGCACAUCUUGACGGUACCUAAUCAGAAAGCCACGGCUAACUACGUGCCAGCAGCCGCGGUAAUACGUAGGUGGCAAGCGUUAUCCGGAAUUAUUGGGCGUAAAGCGCGCGUAGGCGGUUUUUUAGUCUGAUGUGAAAGCCCACGGCUCAACCGUGGAGGGUCAUUGGAAACUGGAAAACUUGAGUGCAGAAGAGGAAAGUGGAAUUCCAUGUGUAGCGGUGAAAUGCGCAGAGAUAUGGAGGAACACCAGUGGCGAAGGCGACUUUCUGGUCUGUAACUGACGCUGAUGUGCGAAAGCGUGGGGAUCAAACAGGAUUAGAUACCCUGGUAGUCCACGCCGUAAACGAUGAGUGCUAAGUGUUAGGGGGUUUCCGCCCCUUAGUGCUGCAGCUAACGCAUUAAGCACUCCGCCUGGGGAGUACGACCGCAAGGUUGAAACUCAAAGGAGUUGACGGGGACCCGCACAAGCGGUGGAGCAUGUGGUUUAAUUCGAAGCAACGCGAAGAACCUUACCAAAUCUUGACAUCCUUUGACAACUCUAGAGAUAGAGCUUUCCCCUUCGGGGGACAAAGUGACAGGUGGUGCAUGGUUGUCGUCAGCUCGUGUCGUGAGAUGUUGGGUUAAGUCCCGCAACGAGCGCAACCCUUAAGCUUAGUUGCCAUCAUUAAGUUGGGCACUCUAAGUUGACUGCCGGUGACAAACCGGAGGAAGGUGGGGAUGACGUCAAAUCAUCAUGCCCCUUAUGAUUUGGGCUACACACGUGCUACAAUGGACAAUACAAAGGGCAGCGAAACCGCGAGGUCAAGCAAAUCCCAUAAAGUUGUUCUCAGUUCGGAUUGUAGUCUGCAACUCGACUGCAUGAAGCUGGAAUCGCUAGUAAUCGUAGAUCAGCAUGCUGCGGUGAAUACGUUCCCGGGUCU